GGAAGAGGAGGUCUUGCUGGCAUCAUCUGGUCACCUGCAAGAGACAGAGGUAAGUGGGAAGCCAGGAGUGCAGCUGCUCUCCAAAAGGUCUCACCUUCUGAGUGCAUCUGGACAUUUGGACCCAUUUCAUAAUUUAGUUGGGUUAAAAAAUACAUCUCCCUCCUUGGUGCUCUUGGCCCCAAGUGUCUUCCUCCCCCCCCCAAAAAAAGAUGACAAGAAUCCAUGGAUUCGUUUUGAUAUCCACAGAAAGGGACCAAACGGAGAACGGACUCCUUCCUUACCCAGCAGCCUCUCUCUGGUGUCCAAUGGAGUCCUUUUGGUCUCAGAGGAAUCACCAUUGGCUUCGCAAAUGGUGUAAACAGGAACGGUUUGGAUUCUUAGAUCACGGACUGCAGUUUCUUGAAGAUGGACUUUUGGCAAGCGAUGGGCUGCACCUCACAACGGUUGGGAGAAAUGUUUUUGCCAAAAAUCUCAGAAACCUCAUCAGGAGGGCUUUAAACUGACUAAUGUGGGGGAGGGAGACAGUGCUCCUGAAGGCAGGAGUCUAUCAAUUGAUGAAGAUGACCAUCCAAAUGUCAUAGACCAAAUGGAGCAAACAGCACACAGACCUAGUGGUGGGAGGAAAAAAUCCUUAAAUAAGAGUCACGGGGGAAUGAUUAAUGGACUUCAAUGUCUGUACACUAAUGCGCAAAGCAUGGGAAAUAAACAAGAUGAGCUUGAGCUCUUGGUACAGCAAACUAAAUAUGACAUAAUAGGCAUCACUGAAACCUGGUGGGAUAAGUCCCAUGAUUGGAAUGUAAUAAUGGGGGGAUACAAUCUAUUUCAGAGAAACAGACCAGACAAGAAAGGAGGAGGAGUGGCGUUAUAUGUCAGGGAUGUGUAUACCUGUGAAGAAAUCCAAGAUUUAGAACCUCAAAGCCAAAGUGAGAGCAUUUGGGUCAAAAUUAAGGGAGAGAAGAAUAACAGUGACCUCAUUGUGGGAGUUUACUAUAGAUCCCCAAGCCAAACGGAGGACAUAGAUGAUGCCUUCCUGGAACAGAUGGCCAAGCAUGCAAAAGGAAGGGAGAUAGUAGUAAUGGGGGACUUCAAUUACCCGGAUAUUUGUUGGAUGUCAAACUCAGCCAAGAGCAUAAGGUCAAACAGAUUCCUCACUGGCCUUGCAGACAACUUCAUUGUCCAGAAAGUGGGAGAAGCAACAAGAGGAACAGCCAUUUUAGAUCUGGUCCUAACCAAUGUUGAUGACCUGGUUAGUGGGGUAGAAGUGGAAGGAUCAUUAGGCGCGAGUGAUCAUGCUCUUCUGAAGUUUACUAUACAGCGGAAAGGAGCAGCCAAGCAUACUAGGACUCAAUUUCUCGACUUUAAGAAAGCUGACUUCAUAAAACUUAGGGAAGUGCUGGGUGAGAUCCCAUGGACAGUAAUACUAAAAGGAAAGGGAGUUCAUGAUGGCUGGGAGUUUGUUAAGAGGGAGAUAGUAAAAGCACAACGUCAGGCAAUACCAAUGAGACGGAAACAUGGAAGGUGCCUAAAGAAGCCAGGGUGGCUAUCUAAAGAACUUUUAACUGAGUUAAGAUUAAAAAGGAUGUGUACAAAAAUGGAAAAGGGGGAAACCACCAAAGAGGAAUUCAAACAAAUAGCCAGCACGUGUAGACACAAAGUCAGAAAAGCUAAAGCACAGAAUGAACUCAGGCUUGCUAGAGAGGUUAAAAGCAACAAAAAAGGCUUUUAUGGGUAUGUUCGUAGCAAAAGGAAGAACAAAGAAACAGUGGGGUCACUCAGAGGAGAAGAUGGUGAAAUGCAAACAGGGGACACAGAAAGAGCUGAACUCCUCAAUGCCUUCUUUGCCUCAGUCUUCUCCGAUCAAGAAAACAAUGCCCGACCUGAAGAAUUUGGAGCAAAUGAUUCAGCAAAGGAAACACAGCCCAGAAUAACUAAGGAGAUAGUACAAGAAUACUUGGCUAGUUUAGAUGUAUUCAAGUCUCCAGGGCCAGAUGAACUGCAUCCAAGAGUAUUAAAAGAACUGGCAGAUGUGAUCUCAGAACCACUGGCAGUCAUCUUUGAGAAUUCCUGGAGAACAGGCGAAGUCCCGGCAGACUGGAGGAGGGCAAAUGUUGUCCCUAUUUUCAAAAAGGGGAAAAGAGAGGACCCAAAUAAUUACCGCCCAGUCAGUCUGACAUCAAUACCAGGGAAGAUUCUGGAGCAGAUCAUUAAGCAAACAGUCUGUGAGCACCUAGAAAGGAAUGCUGUGAUCACCAAUAGUCAGCAUGGAUUUCUGAAAAAUAAGUCAUGUCAGACUAACCUGAUCUCAUUUUUUGACAGAAUUACAAGCCUGGUAGAUGAAGGGAACGCAGUGGAUGUAGCCUAGCUUGAUUUCAGCAAGGCAUUUGACAAGGUGCCUCAUGAUAUUCUUGUAAAGAAGCUGGUAAAAUGCGGUCUUGACUAUGCUACCACUCAGUGGAUUUGUAACUGGCUGACUGGACCGAACCCAAAGGGUGCUCAUCAAUGGUUCCUCUUCAUCCUGGAGAAGAGUGACUAGUGGGGUGCCACAGGGUUCUGUCUUGGGCCCGGUCUUAUUCAACAUCUUUAUCAACGACUUGGAUGAUGGACUCAAGGGCAUCCUGAUCAAAUUUGCAGAUGACACCAAAUUGGGAGGGGUGGCUAACACCCCAGAGGACAGGAUCACACUUCAAAACGACCUUGACAGAUUAGAGAACUGGGCCAAAACAAAUAAGAGGAAUUUUAACAGGAGAAAUGUAAAGUAUUGCACUUGGGCAAAAGAAAUGAGAGGCACAAAUACAAGAUGGGUGACACCUGGCUUGAGAGCAGUACAUGUGAAAAGGAUCUAGGAGUCUUGGUUGACCACAAACUUGACAUGAGCCAACAGUGUGUGACGCGGCAGCUAAAAAAGCCAAUGCAAUUCUGGGCUGCAUCAAUAGGAGUAUAGCAUCUAGAUCAAGGGAAGUAAUAGUGCCACUGUAUUCUGCUCUGGUCAGACCUCACCUGGAGUACUGUGUCCAGUUCUGGGCACCACAGUUCAAGAAGGACACUGACAAACUGGAACGUGUCCAGAGGAGGGCAACCAAAAUGGUCAAAGGCCUGGAAACGAUGCCUUAUGAGGAACGGCUAAGAGAGCUGGGCAUGUUUAGCCUGGAGAAGAGGAGGUUAAGGGGUGAUAUGAUAGCCAUGUUCAAAUAUAGAAAAGGAUGUCACAUAGAGGAGGGAGAAAGGUUGUUUUCUGCUGCUCCAGAGAAGCGGACACGGAGCAAUGGAUCCAAACUACAAGAAAGAAGAUUCCACCUAAACAUUAGGAAGAACUUCCUGACAAUAAGAGCUGUUCGACAGUGGAAUUUGCUGCCAAGGAGUGUGGUGGAGUCUCCUUCUUUGGAGGUCUUUAAGCAGAGGCUUGACAGCCAUAUGUCAGGAGUGCUCUGAUGGGGUUUCCUGCUUGGCAGGGGGUUGGACUCGAUGGCUCUUGUGGUCUCUUCCAACUCUAUGAUUCUAUGAUUCUAUGAUUCUAUGGGCCCAUUUCUGCAAACAGAUCCUGUCUCUGAAAUAGCAACGAAGAUUCAUAACAGAGAAUAUGAAGAAGAGUUAGAAAAGGAAUGACAGAGGCAAAAACUGAAGGGCAAUCUGAUAACAUUCAAUGGCUGCUUUCCAAAAAAAGGAUGGAGAAUUUUCAGAUACUCUCACUCAUGUUGAGCGUAUGUGCGGCUCUUGGGGGCGUUUUCUGCCUGCCUCCCGCCUGCAUUCCCUCCAUAAGACGCACACACAUGCCCCCUUUUUAGGAGGGGAAAAGUGUGUCUUAUGGAGAGAGAAAUACGGUAAGUCUCCCGCCCUCCUAGAGGGAAAGUGACCAUGCAAAAUGUGCAGGGAACUGCUGGUCUUUCUGAGAGAUGAAUCAGCCUGGUUGCCCCUGCCUUUCAGAGUUUUCAGUCAAGGAAUGAAGUCAGAACUGUGAUUGACAAGUGACUCAUUUGUACUGAGUGUUAUCUGAGCAUUGGGUUAUAGUGGGGGUCCUAACCCAGGGUUCCUCAAGAGUUGCUCUCCUGCCCAACCCCACUUCAGGGCCCAUUUAUUCCCUUAUCUGGCUAACUUCUGAGGGCCAAAUGACAUGUGGGUGGGGUCAAAGGGCAGCACUCAAAAACAAAUGAAGUGGGACUCGCCUUUCUAAGCGUGUAAUGUGUUUUCAACUGUUCUUAUUGCUGUUUUUUAUAUUUAGUAAUCAGCUCUUGGAAAUUCGGCUGAUGGGCAGGGAACUAACAAUAAUGAUGAUGAUGUUACAUUGCUUAACAUGCCCCCUCCCCAGUCAUGAAUACUUGAGGGCACUCCUGGGUCCAUCAUGGGCGCUUGAGGCCCAUGUCCAGCUCAGGCUACUUCCCCACCCCACAGACCUUUUGGGACAGAGAGGACAUGGCGCUGGUCUUUCCUGCUCUGCACCAGAUGGGAUGGUUGCAACACUCUCUGUGUGGAACUGCCCUUGAAGGCGACUCGGGAACUGGCCCAAAAUGCAGCAGCCAGAUGAUUGGCUGGGCUGCCUCUCUUUAUGAAGGACUUUCGUCUCCCACCUCUUUGUCCAAAGAGAUCAAGGUGGCAUCCAUGGGUCUACCCUUCCCCACUGAGUCCCCCCACAACAAACAAGUUGGAUUCCUGUUUUAAAACAGUUGCACUGGUUGUUUCCAUUCCAGCAGGACCUCUCCUGCUUUGGAUGCCUUGGCUUGUUAGACCUCCUGCGGUGCUUUCAUAGAACUAUAGAGGUGGAUGGCACCCCAAGGAUCAUCUAGUCCAACCCACAGCAGUCUCAGAGGGCAAACUUGCAUCUGGAGGAACUAAGCACUGGAGGAGAAAAUGGGCCCUUCAGAAUCAGGCCAGAGGGCUGCCUCCUAUAGGGGAGACAGAGAAGAGGAGCCACCCAUCGCCCUCUCCUUCUCCUCCACAGAUUGGCCUCCUCCUCCUCCUUGAUUGGUGGCCUCUGCCUGUUGUGGGAGGGAGUUCCACAGGUUUUACUCUGCCCUGCAAGAGGAAGCACUUUCUCUUCUCUGCCUUCCUUCCUUCCUUCCUUCCUUGCACAGGUGAGGUUUUAGGGACCAGGGUAUAUUUCAUGUCCGGAUGUUUCCAUCUGCGGACAACCUCUGUUAUACAAGGGGACUGAUCCAUACAUCUGAAUGGG
Non-coding RNA from Podarcis lilfordi (Lilford's wall lizard), 5164 nucleotides. NCBI's taxonomy places the organism in Eukaryota, Metazoa, Chordata, Lepidosauria, Squamata, Lacertidae. The record is from the annotation of a GenBank genome assembly.